GAGACUAUUAUGGAUAUUCAUGCUAUGUAUAACAGAGAUUUAAUUUAUUAAAUAAAUAUUAACUCUAAGAGAAAUUCUAUAGUAAACGAAGUGAAUUGAAAUAUCUUAGUAACUUCAGGAAAAGAAAUCAAAAGAGAUUCUACAAUUAGUGUGAACGAAAGUAGAAAAGCCUAAAAUUUAAUAAAAAAAGUAAAAUUGAUCAAAAUCAGUUUGAAUUUUAUGGGGAACCUUCCUCAAAGGCUAAAUAUUAUACAUAAGCGAUAGAGAACAUAAGUACCGUGAGGGAAAUAAUAAUUUGAAAUAGUAGUUUUAUAAGCAGUUCGAGCAAUUUGAGCAAGAACGUACCUUUUGCAUAAUGGGUCACCAAGUUAACUUUAGAUGCAAGUUUAAGCGUAGUUAAACCAAUUAUCAAAAAAAUGAUAAGUGUCUAAAGUUAGACCCGAAGCCUGGUGAUCUUACCAUGAUCAGGAUGUAAACAGUCCGAACGGCAUAUCGUUGCAUAGAUAUCCGAAGAAUUAUGGUAAGUUUAGUGAAAGACAAAACUGACCAGGAUAGCUGGUUUUCUGCGAAACCUAUAAUAGUAGGCAAUUCAAAUAACAUCUUAGCAGGUACAGAACUUAAUCUCAGACAAGAUGUAAAAAUUUAAAUUCUUAAAAUACAUUUUGAUUUGUAUAUAUCGGGGGAUCGUGAAGAUUUUAUCGGUGAGUAUGUAGACUCGGAAUGGCAAAGAUGAAUAUUGAAUUAUCAGACAUAGAGUGCUAAGGUUGUAUGUCAAAAGGGAAACAGCCCAGAACAAGAUUUAAGGUUCCAAAAUUAUUAGUUAAGUGAAAAUAAGAAGGUUUCUAUUUGAGUCGACAAGAAGAUGGGCUUAGAAGCAGCCAUAAUUUUAUGAAUUCGUAACAGAGCGCUUGUUAAUUUUUAGAAGCAUCGAAAAUUUAACGGAUCUAAACAAUAUACCGAAAUCUUGUCCAUAUUUAAUAAUAAUAAUAAUUAUUGUUGUUAUAAUACGGGGUAGCAGAACGUUGAGUUAAUAUUAGCUUUUUCUUUUUUAAAGAAAGAUAUAAAAUGAUAACUCAAGUGAGAAUGGUGACAUUAGUAACGAAUAAGAAGAAAUAAUCAUAAUAUGAUUAAAUUGGAUUCUCCGCCUUAAGCUUAUGGAUUUUUAAGUAACGGCCUCUAAAUUAAAAAUCUAAAGAUUUUAAUGAUGAGAAAAUCUUUAUUACUGAACAACAACAUUUUAAGUGUUAAAUGUGCAGGAAAAGUAGUAAUAUAUUACAUAUAUUAUGUAAUAAAAUAACCGUACCUAGAAACUGAAAAAAGUAAGCUAGUAGAGUAUACGAAGGCGUAAAAUGAGCUAACAAUCAUAAAGGAACUCGGCAAAUUGACUACGUAACUUCGGAAUAAGGAGGUCUCAUUAGUCUUGAUUAAUAUCAAGUAAAAAGGAAGAAGCAUGAAAUAGUGUUGUACGACUGUUUAAUUAAAACACAGCACUUUGCUCAAAGAUUAAAAAUCUAAGUAUUGAGUGUGAUGUCUGCCCAAUCCCGGCUGGUUAACAGAUAUAACUGAAUUUAUUAAGAAAGUUUGGUGUUGACGGAACCCCCGGUUAAUGGCGGCCUUAACGUGAGGGUCCUAAGGUAGCGAAAUGCCUUGGCCGUUAAAUGCGGUCUUGCAUGAAUGAUUUAACGAUACAACAGCUGUCUCUAUGAUUGACUCAGUGAACUUG
The sequence is a ribosomal RNA, 1723 nucleotides long. It matches the Rfam family "Bacterial large subunit ribosomal RNA", at positions 15 to 2044 of the family's 2925-position model. The record is from Rfam.